GACGAACGCUGGCGGCGUGCCUAAUACAUGCAAGUAGAACGCUGAAGAGAGGAGCUUACUCUUCUUGGAUGAGUUGCGAACGGGUGAGUAACGCGUAGGUAACCUGCCUUGUAGCGGGGGACAACUAUUGGAAACGAUAGCUAAUACCGCAUAACAAUGGAUGACACAUGUCAUUUAUUUGAAAGGGGCAAUUGCUCCACUACAAGAUGGACCUGCGUUGUAUUAGCUAGUAGGUGAGGUAAUGGCUCACCUAGGCGACGAUACAUAGCCGACCUGAGAGGGUGAUCGGCCACACUGGGACUGAGACACGGCCCAGACUCCUACGGGAGGCAGCAGUAGGGAAUCUUCGGCAAUGGGGGCAACCCUGACCGAGCAACGCCGCGUGAGUGAAGAAGGUUUUCGGAUCGUAAAGCUCUGUUGUAAGUCAAGAACGGGUGUGAGAGUGGAAAGUUCACACUGUGACGGUAGCUUACCAGAAAGGGACGGCUAACUACGUG
This 497-nucleotide ribosomal RNA is filed under the name uncultured bacterium. RNAcentral describes it as "partial 16S ribosomal RNA". It matches the Rfam family "Bacterial small subunit ribosomal RNA", at positions 28 to 507 of the family's 1533-position model. The record is from RNAcentral.